CAUAAAACGGUGCGUUUCGCCCCCAUAAUACCAUGUUGGUGGUUGCAACUCCCCCGCGGUUUAGCGGGUGGAGAUCCCCCGCGAAUUUUUAUCGCUAGGAUCCGGGAGGAGGAUGGUUGUAUCUCCUUGGUGUAGGGGUUAAUAUUUAUAUGAUAACAAGGGGAACCCCGGGGGGGGGAGGGCGGCCCAUCUUGGGUGGUUACUGACGGUGAAGACGCGAAAGGGUUGGUAGCAAAACAGAUUACAUACCCCUGGUAGUCCUACCCCCAAAAGGAUGUUCUCUUGGUUGUAAUAGGUACCCAACCCCUAUCGUGCCGGAGCUAACGCUUUAAGCGAUCCGCGGGGGGAGUACGGUCGCAAGGCUAAACUCAAAGGAAAUGGCGGGGGCCCCCCACAAGCGGUGGAGCAUGUGUUUAAUUUCGACGCAACGCGAAGAACCUUACCUGGGGCUCGAAAUGUAGUGGACGGGGGGGGAAACAUCCCCUUCCCGCAAGGGCUGCUAUAUAGGUGCUGCAUGGCUGUCGUCAGCUCGUGUCGUGAGAUGUUGGGUUAACUCCCCCAACGAGCGCAACCCUUAUUCCCAGUUGCCAUCAUUUAGUUGGGCACUCUGGCGAAACUCCCCCGGAUAACGGGGAGGAAGGUGGGGAUGACGUCAAGUCCUCAUGGCCUUUAUGUCCAGGGCUACACACGUGCUACAAUGGGUGGUACAAACCGUCGCAAACCCGCGAGGGGGAGCUAAUCGGAAAAAGCCAUCCUCAGUUCGGAUUGGAGUCUGCAACUCGACUCCAUGAAGCUGGAAUCGCUAGUAAUCGCGGAUCAGCACGCCGCGGUGAAUACGUUCCCGGGCCUUGUACCCACCGCCCGUCACAUCACGAAAGUGGGUUGUACUAGAAGUCGUCGUGCCAACCGCAAGGAGGCAGACCCCCAAGGUAUAAUUCAUGAUUGGGGUGAAGUCGUAUCAAGGUAACCAAGGCGAAUCUUGCGAAAGCUUAUG
RNAcentral lists this ribosomal RNA (994 nucleotides) under uncultured soil bacterium. RNAcentral describes it as "partial small subunit ribosomal RNA". It matches the Rfam family "Bacterial small subunit ribosomal RNA", at positions 559 to 1533 of the family's 1533-position model. The record is from RNAcentral.